Molecule: ribosomal RNA, 525 nt
Filed under: uncultured bacterium
Lineage: Bacteria
Description: bacterial SSU rRNA
Rfam family: Bacterial small subunit ribosomal RNA
Source: RNAcentral
AGUCAAUAGAUACCCAGGUAGUCCACGCCGUAAACGAUGAGUACUAGGUGUAGGAGGUAUCGACUCCUUCUGUGCCGCAGUUAACACAAUAAGUACUCCGCCUGGGAAGUACGGUCGCAAGAUUAAAACUCAAAGGAAUUGACGGGGGCCCGCACAAGCAGCGGAGCAUGUGGUUUAAUUCGAAGCAACGCGAAGAACCUUACCUAGACUUGACAUCUCCUGAAUAGCGCAGAGAUGCGUGAAGCCCUUCGGGGCAGGAAGACAGGUGGUGCAUGGUUGUCGUCAGCUCGUGUCGUGAGAUGUUGGGUUAAAGUCCCGCAACGAGCGCAACCCCUAUUAUUAGUUGCUACCAUUAAGUUGAGCACUCUAAUGAGACUGCCCGGGUUAACCGGGAGGAAGGCGGGGAUGACGUCAAAUCAUCAUGCCCCUUAUGUCUAGGGCUACACACGUGCUACAAUGGUGAGAACAACGAGAUGCAAUACCGCGAGGUGGAGCAAAACUUGAAAGCUCAUCUCAGUUCGGAUU